This 253-nucleotide ribosomal RNA is filed under the name uncultured bacterium. RNAcentral describes it as "partial 16S ribosomal RNA". It matches the Rfam family "Bacterial small subunit ribosomal RNA", at positions 524 to 776 of the family's 1533-position model. The record is from RNAcentral.
UACGGAGGGUGCAAGCGUUGUCCGGAUUUAUUGGGUUUAAAGGGUGCGUAGGUGGUUUGAUAAGUCCGGGGUGAAAGCCCACAGCUCAACUGUGGAACUGCCCUGGAUACUGUCAGACUUGAGGGUAGACGAGGUUGGCGGAAUAGAAGGUGUAGCGGUGAAAUGCAUAGAUACCUUCUAGAACCCCGAUUGCGUAGGCAGCUGACUAGGCUACACCUGACACUGAGGCACGAAAGCGUGGGGAGCAAACAGG